CAUGCCUCUAUCCUUAACCUUCUUGGUUCUCUACUGUUCACACUAUCACAAGUCGCAUAAAAACCCAUAUACUCGAGAAAAAACCCCAACUAGAACCUAAGAAAUACUUUCGAUCUCCGUGCUCUCCUUCCUCGCACUCCUCCAUCUCCUCAUCUCUUUUCCCUUCGUCGGUGGCCUCCCCGCUACCUUUUGCCUCCUCACCGCCUUCGUCGGCCACCGUGAGGCUUCCCUUUGUGCCCCUUC
Molecule: long non-coding RNA, 243 nt
Filed under: Elaeis guineensis (African oil palm)
Lineage: Eukaryota; Viridiplantae; Streptophyta; Magnoliopsida; Arecales; Arecaceae
Description: long non-coding RNA (EGUI_LNC015876)
Source: RNAcentral